UCGCCGCGCGGCAGUCGCGUUGGCAGCCGCCGUCUGCCGUCUGCACGACUGUGAGGCAUUGAGCGUCUAUUUUCACACGCGCCGCGCGUCCCAAACAGCCUCAUUCCUUGUUGCAACGAUUCCGAUUCCGAGUGAAUGUCCAGCAGUGUGGACCACCCUCUGGUCAAUUAAAGUCGACGAGCCGGAGAGAUUUCGGGCUGGAACGGCUGCGGCGGCGUGCUUGGAAUGAAGUCAAUCGUUAACAUCGGGGUUGACAAGCGAAUGAAGAAAAAAGAAACGAAAGUCUCUUUCUCUCUCUUUCUCUCCUCCGAAAGAAAUGAUAGACUUUGCUACCGUAUUUGAAUCUCAAGUAACAAUUAUUUAUCUAAGAAAGAUGUUUAACGCAUAAAAUUGUGAUUAUCUAAGAAAUUUGAACAGGAUGGAUGUAAUUGUGCUUAAAACUUUACGAAAAUCGAGGGGAUCCUUCACACCGCUUGUAUUACACGCACUCGGAAGCACUUUCCGCAAAAGGAUCGUGCCAGCUAAGACUGAAAAAUUCAGGACCGGCUACGCCGGUGCAACUCCCGUCCUCGCGUGCGCAAUUAAAAUUAAUAAAAUGAUAAUUAAUAAAAACAGCAGACAAACGCAAGACGGCCAUAAGAGACCGCGAGCUCUCUUUCUCUUUCACUCACGUGUCGUUAAUUCGUUAUGAGCUUUCGGAGGAGGGAAAGAGAGACGUUUUCCACAAGCCACUUUGGCGCUCUCGACGCGACGAAGAGGAGACGCGCUUCUCUCUGGUACCCCCUUAAGAGUAGAGUCGGCUGUCAUAAAUGUCAUUAACUGAUCGCCAGCGUUUACAGGCUUGAGAGCCGGUUGUCAUUUCUUAACGUGGCGGAUCGUCUCCGCCGAUGGUGGAGUGCAGCAGCUACGAUAACUACACCGCUGAGAAUCGAGAGAGAGAGCGAAAGGCAUCGCUAGUCGCGAGCGGGUGUUGGAAAGAGUACAAAAAGAGAAAUCCGGCCAGACAGUGGAGGGCGUGGGAGAUACAUUUAUAAACUCGCAUCUGUGAGCUUAGAAUCGCAUGAUUUAGUGACUACGGAAGGAGAUCUUCGCGUCCGCUUUAAGCGGCCUCUUCAGCCGCCCUCGUUUGCGAGAAAUGGCGUUUCGCCGAGUUAAAGUGUCCCAUCGAUCAUAAGUAAAAUGGAUUGCGAGAUUAUCGGACAGACUGUCAAGUACUUUUAACCUUCUCCGUGAUUUAAUUCCGAGACUUAUUAAAACUUUUACAAGCGUUCCAUCUCUCUGAUGGAAAAUCAUUGUAAUUUCGCAGAAAAACAUGACAUUACGUUUGCAUUAAAUAUUUAUUUCAGAAUUA
Long non-coding RNA from Wasmannia auropunctata (little fire ant), 1351 nucleotides. RefSeq lists it as uncharacterized. The record is from RefSeq and is a predicted model, not a curated record. The transcript is spliced from 2 exons. Lineage: Eukaryota; Metazoa; Arthropoda; Insecta; Hymenoptera; Formicidae.